This 239-nucleotide ribosomal RNA is filed under the name uncultured eukaryote. RNAcentral's name for it is "partial 18S ribosomal RNA". It matches the Rfam family "Eukaryotic small subunit ribosomal RNA", at positions 629 to 868 of the family's 1831-position model. The record is from RNAcentral.
CGUAGUUGAAUAUCUGGACUCAACUUUCGGUCCGGGGCCUUGUGUCCUGCGUACUGUUCUUGUUGGGUCCAUCUUAGUAGUGAAUGGUUCUGGCAUUAAGUUGUUGGGGUCGGGAGCUGCUUCGUUUACUGUGAAUAAAAUAGAGUGUUUAAAGCAGGCAUUACGCCUUGAAUACUUCAGCAUGGAAUAAAAUUAUAGGACUUAGUUGCUAUUUUAUUGGUUUGCGCACCUAGUAAUGA